RNAcentral lists this long non-coding RNA (422 nucleotides) under Hordeum vulgare. RNAcentral's name for it is "long non-coding RNA (HVUL_LNC019239)". Lineage: Eukaryota; Viridiplantae; Streptophyta; Magnoliopsida; Poales; Poaceae. The record is from RNAcentral.
CAGCCAGCGGCGGCAACAUUGUUUGCUACGUGGUACGACGUCACAGACUAAAAAGAAAAAAAGACUCGCUGGUGGCCUCGUAGAGCUGCAUAGGCCAAUGCCACCUUCCCAGCUACGACUAGAUUUUCUCACACGGCGACGGCGACGGCGCCGUGUGUGCACACACAAAGACAGCAGCAGAGGCUGUAAUGGUCGGUCCAGUCCGCCAGGUAGGAGAGGACCGGGGCCGCACAUGCAUAUGACGCGCUGGCCCGAAUCGUUAAUCCGCUAUCACUACUGCUAUAUUUAUUUGUGCUAAAGUAAAAAGGGUGGUGGUGGUAGUAGACCAGAGCAGAGCCGCCGGAAUGGCCACCCGGAAGCGAAGCACAGAGAGGCCGACAUGAGUGGAGAUGCGAGGAAACGUCCAUUAAUCCGGAUUAUAC